RNAcentral lists this ribosomal RNA (460 nucleotides) under uncultured bacterium. RNAcentral's name for it is "partial 16S ribosomal RNA". It matches the Rfam family "Bacterial small subunit ribosomal RNA", at positions 338 to 795 of the family's 1533-position model. The record is from RNAcentral.
CCUACGGGGGGCAGCAGUGAGGAAUAUUGGUCAAUGGACGAGAGUCUGAACCAGCCAAGUAGCGUGAAGGAUGACUGCCCUAUGGGUUGUAAACUUCUUUUAUAAAGGAAUAAAACGAGGCACGUGUGCCUUUUUGCAUGUACUUUAUGAAUAAGGAUCGGCUAACUCCGUGCCAGCAGCCGCGGUAAUACGGAGGAUCCGAGCGUUGUCCGGAUUUAUUGGGUUUAAAGGGAGCGUAGGUGGGUUGGUAAGUCAGUUGUGAAAGUUUGGGGGUCAACCGUAAAAUUGCAAUUGAUACUGGCAGUCUUGAGUACAGUAGAGGGAGGCGGAAUUCGUGGUGUAGCGGUGAAAUGCUUAGAUAUCACGAAGAACCCCGAUUGCGAAGGCAGCUGACUAACCUGUGACUGACAUUGAUGCACGAAAGUGUGGGUAUCAAACAGGAUUAGAUACCCGGGUAGUC